RNAcentral lists this ribosomal RNA (492 nucleotides) under uncultured bacterium. Its description in RNAcentral is "bacterial SSU rRNA". It matches the Rfam family "Bacterial small subunit ribosomal RNA", at positions 28 to 533 of the family's 1533-position model. The record is from RNAcentral.
GACGAACGCUGGCGGCGUGGAUUAGGCAUGCAAGUCGGACGGUAGAGCUUUAUCGUAAGAUAGAGUUUGAGAGUGGCGAACGGGUGAGUAACACGUAGGAAUCUACCCUUAAGACGGGGACAACCCAGGGAAACUUGGGCUAAUACCGGAUGUGAGCAACUUUUAGUUGUUUGAAAGGUGGCGUAAGCUGUCGCUUGGGGAUGAGCCUGCGUCCUAUUAGUUAGUUGGUGAGGUAACGGCUCACCUAGGCAAUGAUAGGUAGGCGGCCUUAACGGGUGGUCGCCCACACUGGGAUUGAGAUACGGCCCAGACUCCUACGGGAGGCAGCAGUGGGGAAUAUUGGACAAUGGGCGAAAGCCUGAUCCAGCAAUGCCGCGUGAGUGAUGAAGGCCUUAGGGUUGUAAAGCUCUUUUACCAGGGAUGAUAAUGACAGUACCUGGAGAAUAAGCUCCGGCUAACUCCGUGCCAGCAGCCGCGGUAAGAGUGUGUGUA